Molecule: RNA transcript, 1483 nt
Organism: Protopterus annectens (West African lungfish)
Lineage: Eukaryota; Metazoa; Chordata; Ceratodontiformes; Protopteridae
Gene name: butyrophilin subfamily 1 member A1-like
Exons: 8
Source: RefSeq, a predicted model, not a curated record
AUAACCCUCCUGACCACCUGUAGGUCUGGGUUUUUGCAUCCCAUCCACAACUGCUAUUCUCCUCUCCUACUUUAAGGAACAAACACUAUCCCACCUUGUGGAGCCUACACGUGGAACGAUAACAGAAAAUGUACUGCCAUUCAUAUACAGUGAAAUGAAGCCCAGUAACAGAAGGUUUUGUACAACUGUUUUGCUGGUAUACUUUGAAAGCACUAUAUGAGUCGUAAGAGACAUCAUGGAAGAACAAAGAUGGCUAUACUCCAGUUUUCUGUUGGUGGUUUGUAUUCAUGAAAAUUAGACAUGAUGGCUAUACUCCACUUUUUCUGUUGGUGGUUUGUAUUCAUGAAAAUUGGACAUGCUGUUCGUUCAAUCACCAUGGACCAGUGGCCAUCACAAGUAGUCUCUGGUGCUAACAUUACUUUGGGAUGCUCGUUUGUUCCAGAAAUUGAUUAUGUUUUUGCAACCAUGGAAGUUGCAUGGCACUUCCGCAGUAACAGCCAUUGGACAGUUGUCUAUUAUUAUGUCAAUCAAACAGCGCAACUAGUGGAUCAGGAUAGGAGGUUCCAUGGACGAGCAUGGAUUGUUCCAAAGGAACUGAAGGAGGAAAAAGCCUCUCUCAGCAUUAGCAGUGUAAGACUGACUGAUAGAGGAGAGUAUCGCUGCAUUGUUAUGGAUAGUGGUGGAGCUGCCUUUGACUCAGCCUCCUUGACAGUAUUAGCCCCUUACUCAUCCCCCAGACUGACAGCUAUUUAUGGAAAUGGAACAUUUAUUCUGCACUGUCUGUCUGAAGGAGGAUACCCUCAGGGUGAAGUGAUAUGGCAUAAUGGAAGGAAGAGCAACUCAACCAAUUAUGGUCAACAGAGUGGUUAGCGAACUCUGAUGGUGGCUUCCACAUUAACAGCACAGUGUCUGUACCAUUACAGGAACUCAAAAUGGUCUGUUGUUCUGUGAUUCAUACAGUGUUACAUCAGAAUGUGACAGCCUGUAAGGAAAUUAAAGCAGAGCAUAUGGAUAGCAGGAACUCCAGAAAUCGACCUUUAUCCAUUGUUGCGAUAUUUCUUGUGCUUUUUUUAUGUGGCAUUGGCAUUACAUCCCUGAAGGCAUCUAAGUGUGAAAGAUGCAAGAGAAAACAUUUCUCAAGGAGAAAUACUAGAAGGAAUAUCGAGAUGUCUCAAAUGGGUUCUUCAUCCUCAACUGACUCCUAGGUUUCUGAAAAUGCAAGCUGUAGCUGGUUGAAGAUUGUAGGAGGCACUGCUAACAUUCACUAAUAGAAGUAGCAGCUCAAACUCUACAAACAGUGGGGAAGUGUCUAUAUUUUGGAACAAAUGCAUAUUACAGUUGGUUAUUUUGUCAGCCAGGCUUAGUUGUGAAGCUGCAGAAGGGACAGUACAGCAAGGAGUUAUGGUAUACUUGGAUAUGAACAGAAGAUCUGAAGUAGUUAACUUAAUUUGAUCAGCAACCUGUGGCAGCUUUCCUAGCUCAA